UUAAGUUAUUAAGGGCGCACGGUGGAUGCCUUGGCACUAGAAGCCGAUGAAGGACGUUACUAACGACGAUAUGCUUUGGGGAGCUGUAAGUAAGCUUUGAUCCAGAGAUUUCCGAAUGGGGAAACCCAGCAUGAGUUAUGUCAUGUUAUCGAUAUGUGAAUACAUAGCAUAUCAGAAGGCACACCCGGAGAACUGAAACAUCUUAGUACCCGGAGGAAGAGAAAGAAAAUUCGAUUCCCUUAGUAGCGGCGAGCGAAACGGGAAGAGCCCAAACCAACAAGCUUGCUUGUUGGGGUUGUAGGACACUCUAUACGGAGUUACAAAGGACGACAUUAGACGAAUCAUCUGGAAAGAUGAAUCAAAGAAGGUAAUAAUCCUGUAGUCGAAAAUGUUGUCUCUCUUGAGUGGAUCCUGAGUACGACGGAGCACGUGAAAUUCCGUCGGAAUCUGGGAGGACCAUCUCCUAAGGCUAAAUACUCUCUAGUGACCGAUAGUGAACCAGUACCGUGAGGGAAAGGUGAAAAGCACCCCGGAAGGGGAGUGAAAUAGAACCUGAAACCGUGUGCUUACAAGUAGUCAGAGCCCGUUAAUGGGUGAUGGCGUGCCUUUUGUAGAAUGAACCGGCGAGUUACGAUUUGAUGCAAGGUUAAGCAGUAAAUGUGGAGCCGUAGCGAAAGCGAGUCUGAAUAGGGCGUUUAGUAUUUGGUCGUAGACCCGAAACCAGGUGAUCUACCCUUGGUCAGGUUGAAGUUCAGGUAACACUGAAUGGAGGACCGAACCGACUUACGUUGAAAAGUGAGCGGAUGAACUGAGGGUAGCGGAGAAAUUCCAAUCGAACCUGGAGAUAGCUGGUUCUCUCCGAAAUAGCUUUAGGGCUAGCCUCAAGUGAUGAUUAUUGGAGGUAGAGCACUGUUUGGACGAGGGGCCCCUCUCGGGUUACCGAAUUCAGACAAACUCCGAAUGCCAAUUAAUUUAACUUGGGAGUCAGAACAUGGGUGAUAAGGUCCAUGUUCGAAAGGGAAACAGCCCAGACCACCAGCUAAGGUCCCAAAAUAUAUGUUAAGUGGAAAAGGAUGUGGCGUUGCCCAGACAACUAGGAUGUUGGCUUAGAAGCAGCCAUCAUUUAAAGAGUGCGUAAUAGCUCACUAGUCGAGUGACACUGCGCCGAAAAUGUACCGGGGCUAAACAUAUUACCGAAGCUGUGGAUUGUCCUUUGGACAAUGGUAGGAGAGCGUUCUAAGGGCGUUGAAGCAUGAUCGUAAGGACAUGUGGAGCGCUUAGAAGUGAGAAUGCCGGUGUGAGUAGCGAAAGACGGGUGAGAAUCCCGUCCACCGAUUGACUAAGGUUUCCAGAGGAAGGCUCGUCCGCUCUGGGUUAGUCGGGUCCUAAGCUGAGGCCGACAGGCGUAGGCGAUGGAUAACAGGUUGACAUUCCUGUACCACCUAUAAUCGUUUUAAUCGAUGGGGGGACGCAGUAGGAUAGGCGAAGCGUGCGAUUGGAUUGCACGUCUAAGCAGUAAGGCUGAGUAUUAGGCAAAUCCGGUACUCGUUAAGGCUGAGCUGUGAUGGGGAGAAGACAUUGUGUCUUCGAGUCGUUGAUUUCACACUGCCGAGAAAAGCCUCUAGAUAGAAAAUAGGUGCCCGUACCGCAAACCGACACAGGUAGUCAAGAUGAGAAUUCUAAGGUGAGCGAGCGAACUCUCGUUAAGGAACUCGGCAAAAUGACCCCGUAACUUCGGGAGAAGGGGUGCUCUUUAGGGUUAACGCCCAGAAGAGCCGCAGUGAAUAGGCCCAAGCGACUGUUUAUCAAAAACACAGGUCUCUGCUAAACCGUAAGGUGAUGUAUAGGGGCUGACGCCUGCCCGGUGCUGGAAGGUUAAGAGGAGUGGUUAGCUUCUGCGAAGCUACGAAUCGAAGCCCCAGUAAACGGCGGCCGUAACUAUAACGGUCCUAAGGUAGCGAAAUUCCUUGUCGGGUAAGUUCCGACCCGCACGAAAGGCGUAACGAUUUGGGCACUGUCUCAACGAGAGACUCGGUGAAAUCAUAGUACCUGUGAAGAUGCAGGUUACCCGCGACAGGACGGAAAGACCCCGUGGAGCUUUACUGUAGCCUGAUAUUGAAAUUCGGCACAGCUUGUACAGGAUAGGUAGGAGCCUUUGAAACGUGAGCGCUAGCUUACGUGGAGGCGCUGGUGGGAUACUACCCUAGCUGUGUUGGCUUUCUAACCCGCACCACUUAUCGUGGUGGGAGACAGUGUCAGGCGGGCAGUUUGACUGGGGCGGUCGCCUCCUAAAAGGUAACGGAGGCGCUCAAAGGUUUCCUCAGAAUGGUUGGAAAUCAUUCAUAGAGUGUAAAGGCAUAAGGGAGCUUGACUGCGAGACCUACAAGUCGAGCAGGGUCGAAAGACGGACUUAGUGAUCCGGUGGUUCCGCAUGGAAGGGCCAUCGCUCAACGGAUAAAAGCUACCCCGGGGAUAACAGGCUUAUCUCCCCCAAGAGUUCACAUCGACGGGGAGGUUUGGCACCUCGAUGUCGGCUCAUCGCAUCCUGGGGCUGUAGUCGGUCCCAAGGGUUGGGCUGUUCGCCCAUUAAAGCGGUACGCGAGCUGGGUUCAGAACGUCGUGAGACAGUUCGGUCCCUAUCCGUCGUGGGCGUAGGAAAUUUGAGAGGAGCUGUCCUUAGUACGAGAGGACCGGGAUGGACAUACCUCUGGUGUACCAGUUGUCGUGCCAACGGCAUAGCUGGGUAGCUAUGUGUGGACGGGAUAAGUGCUGAAAGCAUCUAAGCAUGAAGCCCCCCUCAAGAUGAGAUUUCCCAACUUCGGUUAUAAGAUCCCUCAAAGAUGAUGAGGUUAAUAGGUUCGAGGUGGAAGCAUGGUGACAUGUGGAGCUGACGAAUACUAAUCGAUCGAAGACUUAAUCAA
Molecule: ribosomal RNA, 2921 nt
Filed under: Staphylococcus aureus
Lineage: Bacteria; Bacillati; Bacillota; Bacilli; Caryophanales; Staphylococcaceae
Description: bacterial LSU rRNA
Rfam family: Bacterial large subunit ribosomal RNA
Source: RNAcentral